CCCCUAGAUGUUCUGGGCCGCACGCGCGCUACACUGAACAGUUCAACAAGUCUUAACCUUGGCCGAUAGGUCUGGGUAAUCUUUGAACGCUGUUCGUGAUUGGGAUAGACCUUUGCAAUUAUGGGUCUUCAACGAGGAAUUCCUAGUAAACGCAAGUCAUCAGCUUGCAUUGAUUACGUCCCUGCCCUUUGUACACACCGCCCGUCGCACCUACCGAUUGAAUGGUCCGGUGAAAUCUCGGGACGGCGGCUUGGUCGCUUGCGUCCGACUGCUGAAACUUGAUUAAACCAUAUCAUUUAGAGGAAGGUGAAGGCGUAACA
This 320-nucleotide ribosomal RNA is filed under the name uncultured eukaryote. RNAcentral's name for it is "partial 18S ribosomal RNA". It matches the Rfam family "Eukaryotic small subunit ribosomal RNA", at positions 1470 to 1796 of the family's 1831-position model. The record is from RNAcentral.